RNAcentral lists this non-coding RNA (23 nucleotides) under Arabidopsis thaliana (thale cress). Lineage: Eukaryota; Viridiplantae; Streptophyta; Magnoliopsida; Brassicales; Brassicaceae. The record is from RNAcentral.
CGUCUUGGACUUUGCUGGGCCGA